GCUCUCUCGUCUUUCUUUGUCUUGUCUUGCUUCCAGUUCCGAGUUUGCUGUAUAGUGUGAUGGUUGGUUAUGUAUUGAGUGUGUUGUUCUGUAUAAAUAAUAUAUACUUUUUUUUUACUACAAAGUCUACUUUAUAAUAAUUUAAGUAAUCUAGUAGUGCAUAUGUUCGUAAUAACAAUAGUGGAGUAAAGGACGUGAUUUUGACUUUACGGGAAACAAAUGAUGUCAAGGAAGAGCGGGAGGCGUGACAACAGUGACUUUCAUUGAUAAAAUGGUGUUACGUAUUUUAUGCCUUGAAGAAUGUGACGUUACUCAGCAGAGCAGAGCCUGUCGGCGGGGGCAGAGCGGCCCGUGGAUGCCCUAGCAGCGGCGCCGCACAAUGGCCGCCUGGCUUCUGUGGAUGGUUGGGGGUCUGGUUCGUGAGUCUUCCCACUGCCAUGACUAGAUCCACACUCAUCCACAGCGGCCGGCCGACUGCUUCGCUGGCGCCGGUCCGCAACAUUCCUUCCGCGCUUUUAGAGUUACCUACUUCGCUAGCCACGGAGAACAGUUAAUUAAAUAGUCGAUUUUUUUUUUCUUUCAGAUUUCGAAUUGGACCUUACAAUAUUUAAAAAUUUUCCAAUUACUUUUUCUGUCAAAAAAUGAGUGAUGUGUCCAUUUUGAGGUUUUAUAUAGCGACAAGACUAGAUCUGUCGAGUAAAAAUUGUUAAGUCUUACUUGCUAAAUAAACUUUUUUUUGUCUCCAAGAAAAUGAUAAAAUUAAGAGUUUAGCAAUUUUUAAAGAAGUAGAACAUAUUUCAAUAAAAUGCCUGGCUGUAUUUAUACUGUGAGCAUUUUAAAAAAUGCCGUGAGUAAGGUCACAAAAUAUAUCUUAAAAAUAAAAGACGACUUUCAACGUAUUUUGGUUUAAGUUACUCGAAUGUGCUUCUCUUGAUAAAAUCGUCUUGAUCACAUUUAGAUAAAUAAAUGGUUUAACUUUGAUGUGAUGUUUUAAUAAGAGUUAGUACUACUCUACACAUUUAAAAGAUUUUUUGAGGGGUAGAAUUUUAUUUUUUUCAGGAUUGCAGCAUAAAAGAAAUGGUAGUUGAGAAAGUUACAUUUGUGUCAGUUUAAGUGUGAUGACGAAGUAACACGAAAAGGUAGAAAGAAAGACUAGUUAUUUUAUUCCUGCAACUCAGUGGAGUCCUUGAUAAAACAAACGUUGGGUGGUGUUUUUCCGAACAUGAUUUUUCUUGACAUGGCCAUGCCGUAAUGCAAACACAAAGCCACUUUUAACACAGGAUGCAGGAGGCCACCAAAAAGUUACUAAACUGAACAACUGGUUACAGGAAAAAAAAUAUAACUGUGUUCUGUAAGUCACAAAACUUUUUAAUUCUUUUGUUAACUAGUUUCGAUGUGCAACAUCUUAGCUCUGUGUAUAAGGCACAUGGUAGGAGUAAUUUCGUGAAUGUAACGGAAAUGUGUAACCAUGGUACUGCUAUCUGUGGCGGAUGGCGCAAACCAACGUUCAUAAAGCCAAAGUGAAACUUUAUAUAGUAUUAAUUGUUUAAUUUUAACAAGAUGGGCAAGUCUUUUCCACUGUUAUCAGAGCCGUUUCACUGCAUUGUUUAGAAUUUCGCUCAACCAUGUUGACAUUGCUACUCCAGCAAUUUCCUUCUGUGGUUGCGGAAACUAUGUGUAAUUCGUGUCCAGAAAUGUAGUUGAAAACACAAUUUUGCGUAUGUAUUUAUCACGCUCGGGAUUAUUUUAAGAAAUUCUACUUAAAUUUUGUGUCAGAGUUUUAUAUUAUUAGUGUAUUUUCAACAUGAGAACACAUGAAUUUUCUUGUUAUCAAGGUGGCGUGUUGCACAUCACUGACAAGUACUGAAAGACUCGCUCAUACAUUUUUUUUAUGUCUCACUUUCAUUUAUAGUCGCACAUUAAAUACAAACAGUUGGGGACAAUGUCCUGAAUGAUGUAGAAAUUAUCUGUGAAAAUGUUUUAGCUUGCUAACAUGAAAAUUGGCACAUUUCUGCAAAUAGUAAUUAUAUUUUGUAUUAUGAUUUACUAACUUAUAGGCCUAUAUAUAAAAAAGGCCUUGUGAUAUAAAUUUUUUUUUGUCACCAGAAAAGAAGUCUCUUAACACCAACAUUAAUACAAAUAAUUAAUAUAUUUCUUGACUGAGCCACAUUCAAUUUCCUCCGAGUGCCCUAUCGCAAAUCUGUUUUCUUCCCAUCUGAAGUUAAUAUGACCUCUAUUUUAUUGUGCACGGCUUAGCUGGGUUCCCCCCUCCCCCCAAAAACACCAAAAUUCCAUAAUUCUUGAAUUAUAUGAUUUUUUAAAAGUUUUUUAACUCCCGCUCUGCACCAAAUUUUUAGAUACUGUGGCUAAAUAUUUUUGCCACACAAUGAUUAAUAACCCUACUAUUGAUAAAAACUCAAAAUAAGAUCGAAUGUGCAAUACUUUUGUGUGGGGGGGGUUUCUUUGCAUGUCUCAUGCGGCAAAGAUUUUUAAUCGAAAAACUUUAAGACUAUUCAUGCUGUAAAAAAUUAGUUUGCUAACUUAUCAAAGUAUUUUUUUUCUUUACAGUAUAACUACUCAAAUUUACCUAUAAAAAAAUAUUUUGCCCCAUAAGUCUACCAAAUAAUUUUUCCCCUUAAAGUAGGCUAUAGCAUGUUUGAUUAUAUUUUAAAUUGGUAUCAAUUGUAUGGUUAUUUAUGAUGGUGUAUCAAACAAAUUUAGUCAUUAAUAGGAUCUAAUAAUUUGGUGCAGGAAGAAGAUUUAAAAACUUUUGAAGAAAUUUAUUAAACUCAAAACCUACAACAUUUAAAAAAAAAUUUAUUCAGAACCAUAAUUUACUGUCAUCGACUUGAUGUUGAGUUAUGUGACUUCCUAUAUGUGAUUCCAGAGAUGGCAGAAGAUGCACAUUGAAAACAAAACCAAAAA
Bacillus rossius redtenbacheri is the source of this 2925-nucleotide long non-coding RNA. RefSeq lists it as uncharacterized. Lineage: Eukaryota; Metazoa; Arthropoda; Insecta; Phasmatodea; Bacillidae. The transcript is spliced from 2 exons. The record is from RefSeq and is a predicted model, not a curated record.